This 494-nucleotide ribosomal RNA is filed under the name uncultured bacterium. RNAcentral describes it as "bacterial SSU rRNA". It matches the Rfam family "Bacterial small subunit ribosomal RNA", at positions 28 to 536 of the family's 1533-position model. The record is from RNAcentral.
GACGAACGCUGGCGGCGUGCUUAACACAUGCAAGUCGAACGGUAAGGCCCUUUCGGGGGUACACGAGUGGCGAACGGGUGAGUAACACGUGAGGAACCUGCCCUUGACUCUGGGAUAACAGUGGGAAACUUCUGCUAAUACCGGAUAUUCAGAUUCUGCCGCAUGGUGGGGUUUGGAAAGCUUUUGUGGUCAAGGAUGGUCUCGCGGCCUAUCAGCUUGUUGGUGAGGUAAUGGCUCACCAAGGCGUCGACGGGUAGCCGGCCUGAGAGGGCGACCGGCCACAUUGGGACUGAGAUACGGCCCAGACUCCUACGGGAGGCAGCAGUGGGGAAUAUUGCACAAUGGGCGGAAGCCUGAUGCAGCAACGCCGCGUGCGGGAUGACGGCCUUCGGGUUGUAACCGGCUUUCGAGUAGGGACGAGCGCAAGUGACGGUACCUACAGAAGAAGCACCGGCUAACUACGUGCCAGCAGCCGACGGUAACUAUAGCGUACU